This 458-nucleotide long non-coding RNA is filed under the name Lathyrus oleraceus (garden pea). Its description in RNAcentral is "Pisum sativum (pea) long non-coding RNA (PSAT_LNC003960)". Lineage: Eukaryota; Viridiplantae; Streptophyta; Magnoliopsida; Fabales; Fabaceae. The record is from RNAcentral.
UAUGAAAGUGAGGAAAGUAGAGUAUCGUUGUCCAUACAUAACGUUGACUGAUGCAAGCCCCGAUGGUACGUACAUGUAUUACCUGGAUCGUAUAGAAAAUGAUUAAGAUGUUCAGUGUAUGUUUUCGGCACAUAGUGGUGAAGUUAAUAGAGGAGUUGAAGGUCCACUUGUGUUGGUUGUUGUUGUUGAUUAGUUUUUUAAUUACCAGUUGUGUUGGUUGUUGUUGUUGUUGUUUAGUUAAUGUGGUCGUACUUUGUAACCAUAAGCCUUUGAUUAUGAAAUGUAUUUCAAAAUUGUUUGUUCCCAAAAGACAUUAGAAAUACAUAAUGGUUUAUAUAUAUUACGCGCAUAGUAGUUAAUAAUUAAAAAAAACAUAAUCAUCUGGACGAAUAUUUAAAAUAACAACAUAAUCAUCUGGAUGGUCGCUGGGACGGUCCUGCAACAUUAGGACAUUUCCU